Priapulus caudatus is the source of this 474-nucleotide long non-coding RNA. RefSeq lists it as uncharacterized. The record is from RefSeq and is a predicted model, not a curated record. Lineage: Eukaryota; Metazoa; Priapulida; Priapulimorpha; Priapulimorphida; Priapulidae. The transcript has 4 exons.
GAAAUUUCAAGAUGGCCACACGAUGAUGGAUAAAUUGUAAACUGUGCUCACUACAGAUAUCAUACAGUGAUAAUAGACAUAUUUAUCAUUAAUUAUUCUACUCUAGUGAUGUCGUCAGAUGAAGAAUUGAAGACGAGUGAUGGCCAAGUGUGCAAUGCAGAGUCUGCAGAUGAAGGUUCAUGCUCUACUGCUGUAACAGAAGCAGAGCAUGGUGUGCAAAGCAACUCUGCAGCUAUCUUGUCUGAGUACGAAGUCCUAUUCAAAGAUAGGUUUACGGACAAAGAUGCUGACUAUGCUUCAGCACUAGCAAAAGGAAAUAUUACUCCUCCAUGUGUUGAAAACUUUUUUACACGUCCUAAAAGAGAUUUCGAUCACUCACGGAACCAAUCUCAUCAAUAUAACAGAAAACGACCAUAUGACGGAGGAGGAGGAGGAGGAGGACACGGAGGAUGGGGAGGUGGAGGAGGAGGAGGA